Non-coding RNA from Myotis lucifugus (little brown bat), 52 nucleotides. Lineage: Eukaryota; Metazoa; Chordata; Mammalia; Chiroptera; Vespertilionidae. The record is from Rfam.
AUUUUAGUAAAAGUAUGUCCCAUUCUAUAUUUGGGGUAUACUUAUGCUAAAA